GAGAAAGGGAAAAGUUGCAUGACUGUGUCAAACUAGCCAGUUUUUGGGCUAUUCGGAAACUUUUCCUAUCAUCUUUUUCCUUUAAACAUCAAAGGAAGUUGUGGGGAAGCUGUGAAAGGAAAGGGCUUUCAGAUGAAUGCUCAAGGACACUAAGAACUUAAGGCAGACAAGCGUCUGCAGAGUUUCGUUUAGAAACUCUGCGACGGCAUGAAAAUCCGUCAUGUCUACUGUCUUCUCCGGCUGCUGGUUUUGGAAAUGUAAUUUAUUGCAGUGUGUGCAAUAUGAAUCAAGCCAAGAUGUGUCAUUAUUCAACUUAGUAGUUUCUAAAUGCCAGUACUGUCUUCAGUUUCUCUUUGAAAUGUACCCAGAGCUAAAAUCCCUAGAAUAGAGAUCAACUAAAACUUCACUGGACAAACGAAACCGACUGAC
Molecule: long non-coding RNA, 429 nt
Organism: Ictalurus punctatus (channel catfish)
Lineage: Eukaryota; Metazoa; Chordata; Actinopteri; Siluriformes; Ictaluridae
Source: Ensembl